RNAcentral lists this transfer RNA (75 nucleotides) under Candidatus Woesearchaeota archaeon. Its description in RNAcentral is "tRNA-Gln". Lineage: Archaea; Nanobdellati; Candidatus Woesearchaeota. The record is from RNAcentral.
ACUCUUGUAAAAGUUUGCGGCCAAUCAUCUCGGACUCUGGAUCCGAGGACGGCGGUUCGAAUCCGCCCGGGGCUA